GCAGGCCCAGGUCCACUCCCCAGCUGUGAAAGGAGGAGCUCUACGGUGACUUUGAAGACUUGGAAACAGGGGACAUGCACAAGGGAAAAUCGGGCCCCGACACUCAGAAUGAAGAUAUAGAGAAACAAGGAAGAAAUUGACCCCGACGAAGAAGAAAGUGCCAAGAAAAAGCAUUUGGAUAAGAAGAGAAAAUUGAAGGAGAUGUUUGAUGCGGAAUAUGAUGAAGGAGAAAGCACAUAUUUUGAUGAUCUUAAAGGAGAAAUGCAGAAAGAAGCACAGGAGAAUGGGAGCAGAGGAACUGGAGGCUGCAACUGUGGAAAACUUUUGUGGGGUUUUGCUGCAGAGAGAAGCAGAGAAAUGAAGCAGUUUUUGGUGGAAGAAGUGGAAUCAAAAGGUUUUGAGCUGAAUCACGUAGAAUUUGAAGAUCAAGAUGAUGAAGCCAGAGUUCAGUAUGAUGGUUUUCGACCUGGGAUGUACGUCCGCGUUGAGAUUGAAAAUGUUCCCUGUGAAUUUGUGCAGAACUUUGACCCCCAUUACCCCAUUAUCCUGGGUGGCUUGGGCAACAGCGAGGGAAAUGUUGGACACGUGCAGAUGCGUCUGAAGAAACAUCGCUGGUAUAAGAAAAUCCUCAAGUCCCAAGAUCCAAUCAUAUUUUCUGUAGGGUGGAGGAGGUUUCAGACCAUCCUGCUCUAUUAUAUUGAAGACCACAAUGGAAGACAAAGGCUUCUAAAGUAUACCCCACAGCACAUGCAUUGUGGAGCAGCCUUUUGGGGGAACUGGUUUCUUGGCAAUACAGUCUGUCAGUGGCAUAAUGCCUGAUUUUCGGAUAGCUGCCACAGGAGUUGUCCUUGAUCUGGAUAAAUCCAUAAAAAUUGUGAAGAAAUUAAAGCUAACUGGUUUUCCAUAUAAAAUUUUCAAGAACACUUCAUUUAUUAAGAUAUUGUCUUCAUGCGAACUUGGUAUCCUGUUUCCAUCCCAGCCUUCUAUAACCCAGUAACAUCUUUGUUGAAACCAGUGGGUGAGAAAGACACCUGGUCAGGAAUGUGGACCACGGGCCACCUCGGGCUCGCCCAUGGUGUCAGACUAAAGACAAACAAGGACUCUCUGUAUAAGGUACUGGUCGUGUGUGUGUUAGUGGAGAUGAAGCCUGUGCCCUACAGACAGGGAGUCACGCAGACACUUUUCUAUAAUUUCUUACGUACUUUGAAUGUUCAAGUAUAAAGUCUAAUGUUAAAUUUGAUUGAACAAUUGUAUAUUUGUGGGAUAUUUUGGAAUGGAACACCAAAAAAUGGUAAUAGUGGUUCUUUCUGGAUUGAAGACAAACUUUUCUUUUUUAAAAUAAAUUUUAUUUUAUAUAUUU
Molecule: long non-coding RNA, 1360 nt
Filed under: Homo sapiens (human)
Lineage: Eukaryota; Metazoa; Chordata; Mammalia; Primates; Hominidae
Description: novel transcript
Source: RNAcentral